Molecule: ribosomal RNA, 253 nt
Filed under: uncultured bacterium
Lineage: Bacteria
Description: partial 16S ribosomal RNA
Rfam family: Bacterial small subunit ribosomal RNA
Source: RNAcentral
GACGAACCGUCCAAACGUUAUUCGGAAUCACUGGGCUUAAAGGGUGCGUAGGCGGUGCGGAAAGUUGGAUGUGAAAGCCCCCGGCUCAACCGGGGAACUGCGUCCAAAACUGCCGUGCUUGAGUGAGACAGAGGUGAGCGGAACUUAGGGUGGAGCGGUGAAAUGCGUUGAUAUCCUAAGGAACACCGGUGGCGAAAGCGGCUCACUGGGUCUUAACUGACGCUGAGGCACGAAAGCUAGGGUAGCGAACGGG